AGGACGAACGCUGGCGGCGUGCCUAACACAUGCAAGUCGAACGCGCUCCAUUCGGUAGCAAUACUGAUGAAGAGCGAGUGGCGAACGGGUGAGUAGCACGUGAGCAACCUGCCCCGAAGACUGGGACAACACCGGGAAACCGGUGCUAAUACCGGAUAUCCCUAUCGGACCGCAUGAUCUGAUAAGGAAAUGGAUUCCGCUUCGGGAGGGGCUCGCGGCCUAUCAGCUAGUUGGUGGGGUAACGGCCCACCAAGGCAUCGACGGGUAGCUGGUCUGAGAGGACGAUCAGCCACACUGGGACUGAGACACGGCCCAGACUCCUACGGGAGGCAGCAGUGGGGAAUCUUGCGCAAUGGGCGAAAGCCUGACGCAGCAACGCCGCGUGGAGGACGAAGGCUUUCUGAGUUGUAAACUCCUUUCAGCAGGGACGAGUAGUGACGGUACCUGCAGAAGAGCACCGGCCAACUACGCGCCAGCAGCCGCGGUAAC
This 489-nucleotide ribosomal RNA is filed under the name uncultured bacterium. RNAcentral describes it as "SSU rRNA". It matches the Rfam family "Bacterial small subunit ribosomal RNA", at positions 26 to 524 of the family's 1533-position model. The record is from RNAcentral.